RNAcentral lists this transfer RNA (74 nucleotides) under Dactylosporangium sucinum. RNAcentral's name for it is "tRNA-Arg". It matches the Rfam family "tRNA". From Rfam's summary of the family: Transfer RNA (tRNA) molecules are approximately 80 nucleotides in length. Their secondary structure includes four short double-helical elements and three loops (D, anti-codon, and T loops). Further hydrogen bonds mediate the characteristic L-shaped molecular structure. tRNAs have two regions of fundamental functional importance: the anti-codon, which is responsible for specific mRNA codon recognition, and the 3' end, to which the tRNAs corresponding amino acid is attached (by aminoacyl-tRNA synthetases). tRNAs cope with the degeneracy of the genetic code in two manners: having more than one tRNA (with a specific anti-codon) for a particular amino acid; and 'wobble' base-pairing, i.e. permitting non-standard base-pairing at the 3rd anti-codon position. Lineage: Bacteria; Bacillati; Actinomycetota; Actinomycetes; Micromonosporales; Micromonosporaceae. The record is from RNAcentral.
GCCCCUGUAGCUCAACGGAUGAGCAGCAGUUUACGAAACUGUGGGUAUGCGAGUUCGACUCUCGCCAGGGGUAC